GAUGAACGCUGGCGGCGUGCCUAAUACAUGCAAGUCGAGCGAACAGACGAGGAGCUUGCUCCUCUGACGUUAGCGGCGGACGGGUGAGUAACACGUGGAUAACCUACCUAUAAGACUGGGAUAACUUCGGGAAACCGGAGCUAAUACCGGAUAAUAUAUUGAACCGCAUGGUUCAAUAGUGAAAGACGGUUUUGCUGUCACUUAUAGAUGGAUCCGCGCCGCAUUAGCUAGUUGGUAAGGUAACGGCUUACCAAGGCAACGAUGCGUAGCCGACCUGAGAGGGUGAUCGGCCACACUGGAACUGGGACGCGGUCCAGACUCCUACGGGAAGCAGCAGUAGGGAAUAUUCCGCAAUGGGCGAAAGCCUGACGGAGCAACGCCGCGUGAGUGAUGAAGGUCUUCGGAUCGUAAAACUCUGUUAUUAGGGAAGAACAAAUGUGUAAGUAACUAUGCACGUCUUGACGGUACCUAAUCAGAAAGCCACGGCUAGAUACGUG
Molecule: ribosomal RNA, 497 nt
Filed under: uncultured bacterium
Lineage: Bacteria
Description: partial 16S ribosomal RNA
Rfam family: Bacterial small subunit ribosomal RNA
Source: RNAcentral